GUGAGGAAUAUUGGUCAAUGGACGAGAGUCUGAACCAGCCAAGUAGCGUGAAGGAUGACUGCCCUAUGGGUUGUAAACUUCUUUUAUACGGGAAUAAAGUGAGGCACGUGUGCCUUUUUGUAUGUACCGUAUGAAUAAGGAUCGGCUAACUCCGUGCCAGCAGCCGCGGUAAUACGGAGGAUCCGAGCGUUAUCCGGAUUUAUUGGGUUUAAAGGGAGCGUAGGCGGACGCUUAAGUCAGUUGUGAAAGUUUGCGGCUCAACCGUAAAAUUGCAGUUGAUACUGGGUGUCUUGAGUACAGUAGAGGCAGGCGGAAUUCGUGGUGUAGCGGUGAAAUGCUUAGAUAUCACGAAGAACUCCGAUUGCGAAGGCAGCCUGCUGGACUGUAACUGACGCUGAUGCUCGAAAGUGUGGGUAUCAAACAGGAUUAGAUACCCCGGUAGUCC
This 445-nucleotide ribosomal RNA is filed under the name uncultured bacterium. Its description in RNAcentral is "partial 16S ribosomal RNA". It matches the Rfam family "Bacterial small subunit ribosomal RNA", at positions 354 to 796 of the family's 1533-position model. The record is from RNAcentral.